CCUAUGUUUACUUGACCCUUGUUGCUUCGGCGGACCCGUCUUGGUAAAACGAGACCGCCGGAGGACGUCUUUCGAGACGUUCUCUGGCCCGCGUCCGCCGGGGACAUACACCUAAAAAUUCUUGAAUUAUCAACCAUGUCUUCUGAAUUAUAAUUAUAAAUUAAACAAAACUUUCAACAACGGAUCUCUUGGUUUUGGCAUCGAUGAAGAACGCAGCGAAAUGCGAUAAGUAAUGCGAAUUGCAGAAUUCCAGUGAGUCAUCGAAUCUUUGAACGCACAUUGCGCCCUUUGGUAUUCCGAAGGGCAUGCCUGUUCGAGCGUCAUUAUCACCCCUCAAACCCUGGGUUGCCUUUAACCGGGCCUCCCUAAAGUUUGGCGUUGGACGGUUGGUUCGAGUAAUCGAACCCCUCCCAAAGACAAUGACGGAGUCCUGUUCGACCCUCGGUACAUGGAGCACCUUUGCGGGAGCACGUGCCGGACCCCUAAAAGCGGUCGGGAGGACAUACGGUCACCACCUAUAUUUUUAACAAGG
Molecule: unclassified non-coding RNA, 532 nt
Filed under: Capronia sp. OTU_024
Lineage: Eukaryota; Fungi; Ascomycota; Eurotiomycetes; Chaetothyriales; Herpotrichiellaceae
Description: sequence contains ITS1, 5.8S rRNA gene and ITS2
Rfam family: 5.8S ribosomal RNA (bases 169-323)
Source: RNAcentral